Molecule: ribosomal RNA, 487 nt
Filed under: uncultured bacterium
Lineage: Bacteria
Description: bacterial SSU rRNA
Rfam family: Bacterial small subunit ribosomal RNA
Source: RNAcentral
CGUAGUUUGAUCAGUGGCUACGAGACACGCUGGCGGCGCGCCUAACACAUGCAAGUCGAACGAGAGAUGAAGAGCUUGCUCUUCAAAUCGAGUGGCGAACGGGUGAGUAACGCGUGAGGAACCUGCCUCAAAGAGGGGGACAACAGUUGGAAACGACUGCUAAUACCGCAUAAGCCCACGGCUCGGCAUCGAGCAGAGGGAAAAGGAGUGAUCCGCUUUGAGAUGGCCUCGCGUCCGAUUAGCUAGUUGGUGAGGUAACGGCCCACCAAGGCGACGAUCGGUAGCCGGACUGAGAGGUUGAACGGCCACAUUGGGACUGAGACACGGCCCAGACUCCUACGGGAGGCAGCAGUGGGGAAUAUUGCACAAUGGGGGAAACCCUGAUGCAGCGACGCCGCGUGGAGGAAGAAGGUCUUCGGAUUGUAAACUCCUGUUGUUGAGGAAGAUAAUGACGGUACUCAACAAGGAAGUGACGGCUAACUACGUG